AGCUCCAAUAGCGUCUAUUAAUGUUGUUUUUUUUCCCCAGCUCUUCUUUUUCUCUCUUCAUAUUUAGGGCUUUUUGCUUGCUAGUAUUACUGCCCUAUAAUCUGUAGUUUUGCCAGAGGUUUUAGGGUGCUCUUAAUCGAGUGUCCUGGGAUGCUGGCAGGUUUACUUUGAAAAAAUUAGAGUGCUCAAAGCAGGCUGUUACGCCUGAAUAUUCGUGCAUGGAAUAAUAGAAUAGGAAGUCGUUUCUAUUUUGUUGGUUUUCGGAAAUCGACUUAAUGAUUAAUAGGGACAGUCGGGGGCAUUUGUAUUCAAACGACAGAGGUGAAAUUCUUGGACCGUUUGAAGACAAACUACUGCGAAAGCAUUUGCCAAGAAUGUUUUCA
RNAcentral lists this ribosomal RNA (383 nucleotides) under marine copepod environmental sample. RNAcentral's name for it is "partial small subunit ribosomal RNA". It matches the Rfam family "Eukaryotic small subunit ribosomal RNA", at positions 587 to 972 of the family's 1831-position model. The record is from RNAcentral. Lineage: Eukaryota; Metazoa; Arthropoda; Copepoda.